This 442-nucleotide ribosomal RNA is filed under the name uncultured bacterium. RNAcentral's name for it is "partial 16S ribosomal RNA". It matches the Rfam family "Bacterial small subunit ribosomal RNA", at positions 338 to 795 of the family's 1533-position model. The record is from RNAcentral.
CCUACGGGAGGCAGCAGUGGGGAAUAUUGGGCAAUGGGCGCAAGCCUGACCCAGCAAAGCCGCGUGAAGGAAGAAGGCUUUCGGGUUGUAAACUUCUUUUGACAGGGAAGAGAAGAAGACGGUGCCUGUCGAAUAAGCCACGGCUAACGACGGUCCAGCAGCCACGGUAAUACGGAGGGGGCAAGCGUUGUCCGGAUUUACUGGGUGUAAAGGGCGUGUAGCCGGGCUGACAAGUCAGGUGUGAAAUCGUGGGGCUCAACCCCCGAACUGCAUUUGAAACUGGUGGUCUUGAGUAUCGGAGAGGCAGGCGGAAUUCCUAGUGUAGCGGUGAAAUGCGUAGAUAUUAGGAGGAACACCAGUGGCGAAGGCGGCCUGCUGGACGACAACUGACGGUGAGGCGCGAAAGCGUGGGGAGCAAACAGGAUUAGAUACCCCAGUAGUC